GAGUAUUCCCGUUCCCUUUCCGAGUGACUGUGCAUCAAGCAUCGUUCUCUACCGGAGUAUCGAAUAACUCCGUCUAAUGGCUUCAUAUCGUUCGACACAGAGAGAGAGGCUGAAAGCAAGGGUCUGAGCGAGGAAGAAAAUGGAGAAGCUGAAAGCUCUGGUUUCCCAUCCAUCCGAAGCAGAUCAUCUCCAUUGCAACUCCAGACGAUUUCCCUCGUUCUCCUCACUUGUCGAUUUAUUCCUUUCUUCACCUCAUUUCCACCAGACUGACUGAGAAGCGACGUACCAAGAGAUGGGGCUGUGGAUUGUCGUAAGACUGCAAUGUCCGCUUUGGAUUGAAAGUGGAAAGGGAACAAUUGCUUUUCUAGCGGAUGUUUCAUCAAUGCUUUGAGAUUCUACACUCAGCUAUGUUACCCAUUUCCAGCACCAGCUCAUCAGGGUGGAAUGCCAAAUGUUGCAGAGGUUGAUCAGCCCUGGUAGGGCUUGCCAUUCUUAGUAGGAUGGUUGGUUGUUUUCUUUCUCAGACCAGUUGUCUCAGGCCCCUUCAUUGGCUGUGUUUUAAAAACUCGGAGAUGGUAGUCAUUGCAGGUAAAUAGCCUAUCAGAGCAAUCUUGGAUGGCUGUGUUUUGUUUCAAGUCAGCUGUAGCAGCUGGUGAAAUGAACUCAUUUCCUCGAAGCAGAGUUGGAGGCCUUUCUGCCUUGUUCUGUUGCCGCAUUGAUGUGAGCUGGCCUUUUCAUCUCUUCCACAUGAUUUUGCUAGCCGGAGUGAGAGGUGUGACCCAUUUGUUAGGUGUAAUUGGAGCAGGUCUAUCAGUGGAGUGUCUCAAAUGGCUGGUUGCCUAUUGCUGACCGUGGUCACUGGUGUCUCUAUUCCAAGUCCAUGUUCAGUAGGUCACCUUUGAACGCAGAGUCAAAAGUGGUCACUCAGUUAGUGCUGCUUGCUGUCCUGGAUGGGCUGGUUUGAGUUGGGCUUUGUGCAACUGUGGAAGUGGUUGUUGGGUCCCAUCAAGUGUAAGGUGUUAAUUUUUCUUGUGGCCCUGUUUUAGUGUAGAAUUUUUACUUUCUUGGUGAUGUAGAGAGGCAUUAUAUGAUAGGUGAGGCCCGUAUCCUUUUGUGGCACCCACCGAAUGAUUGUAGAGCAGUUUUUUAGCCCAAUCAAUGAAGCUACAGAUGGGUGUGCUCC
Molecule: long non-coding RNA, 1183 nt
Organism: Magnolia sinica
Lineage: Eukaryota; Viridiplantae; Streptophyta; Magnoliopsida; Magnoliales; Magnoliaceae
Exons: 3
Source: RefSeq, a predicted model, not a curated record